RNAcentral lists this ribosomal RNA (507 nucleotides) under uncultured microorganism. RNAcentral describes it as "bacterial SSU rRNA". It matches the Rfam family "Bacterial small subunit ribosomal RNA", at positions 9 to 505 of the family's 1533-position model. The record is from RNAcentral.
GAGUUUGAUCAUGGCUCAGGAUGAACGCCGGCGGUGUGCCUAAUACAUGCAAGUCGUACGCACUGGCCCAACUGGUUGAUGGUGCUUGCACCUGAUCGACGAUGGAUCACCAGUGAGUGGGCGGACGGGUGAGUAACACGUAGGUAACCUGCCCUGUACAGGGGGAUAACAAUCAGAAAUGACUGCUAAUACCGCAUAAGACCACAGCACCGCAUGGUGCAGGGGUAAAAACUCCGGUGGUACAGGAUGGACCCGCGUCUGAUUAGCUGGUUGGUGAGGUAACGGCUCACCAAGGCGACGAUCAGUAGCCGGCUUGAGAGAGUGAACGGCCACAUUGGGACUGAGACACGGCCCAAACUCCUACGGGAGGCAGCAGUGGGGAAUAUUGCACAAUGGGGAAACCCUGAUGCAGCAACGCCGCGUGAGUGAAGAAGUAUUUCGGUAUGUAAAGCUCUAUCAGCAGGGAAGAAAGUGACGGUACCUGACUAAGAAGCCCGGCUAACUACG